Mauremys mutica (yellowpond turtle) is the source of this 1477-nucleotide long non-coding RNA. RefSeq lists it as uncharacterized. The record is from RefSeq and is a predicted model, not a curated record. NCBI's taxonomy places the organism in Eukaryota, Metazoa, Chordata, Testudines, Geoemydidae. The transcript has 3 exons.
GUCAUUAAGAAGUAACAAUAAGCUCCACCCACAACCCAAGCUUUGACCACUUGUGAAGCUGAAUAAAAUGCCAGACUGCGACAGAAUUCACAGUAGACUGUGCAGAGCUUCAUAAUGAAUGUUUGUCUCUUUUUUUGCCUGCUUUGAUCAGCAGUGAAAUAGUUAACAAAACUGACAUGUGAGGAGGGCACCGUACACAACUGAACUGGUUUCUGUGAGCUGGGGCAAAGGAUUCACCCACACAUGGCCCUGCAGUGGUUCCCCUGGGAGUUGAUGGAGUUACUCUGGAUUUACGUCAGUGCAACUAAGGUAGCUUUAGUGGUGGAUUGAUGGACCUGGAGACUGAAGUUUCAGUAUAACCCAGACCAAAUACCAACCUGAUUUCCUCCCUUCAUCCUUAUCAAUAUUCCACAGUCCUGUUCUAGAGGUGCUGGACCUGAUUCUCUGCUCACUUAUGCUGAUUCUGCAUGUGGGGUGACUCUAUUGACUACACAGGAGAUAGUCCUGAUUUACACUUGUAAAUUAAGGUGGGACUGGGUCCUCCCCUAAAACUUAGUAUGAAGUCAUAGUUCAGGCUCCUAUUCUGUCUUUCACCUUCCAACUCAAGUAGCCAGCACCAAAUCUAGUCAAAUUUUGAGAAGCCCUCCUAAAGUGCACCCAAAAUAUGUCAUGAGCAUGCAACACUUUCAUGUGUUGGUGCAAAAUAGGUAACUUCAUGCAUAAAACAGGAGUGUGAGUAUCUGUUUUCUGAAUUUCUCUGUCAUGCGGCUAACUCUCUUUCUUGCUGGUUUUUCUGCCACGUUUUCUUUGGAAGCAUGUGAAAGCUUCUUAUUGAACCCUGAGGAUCAACACGUUGUAUGAGCAGGGACAGAGGAGAUCUGCGCAGCUAUAAAACUUGCAAACUCUGCAAGAACCCUUCUGAAGGCUCAGGAAAAGGGCAACCCAGCUCCAGGAAAAUAGAGCAGGAGGACUGCACUGAGAUUGGCAUAAGCCGCUUAACAAGACUGAGCCAAGAAAAUAAUAUAGACUUUGGUUAUUUUCCCAGGAGCUCUUCAGAAGGCAGUGAUUUUUUGACAAAUUGUGCAAGUCCUAGAGAUGGGUCUAUUGUUGUCAGGGCAUUUUUCUAUUACCAUUUUAUACAGCUUCACAACUCUUCCUAUCUUAGCAAUUCUAACAAUAAAAAAUCAUCAGAUUUUCUUUUGCUAUUUUAAAUGGCUAUUGUUCUACUGUAUUUAAUCAUUAAGGAACCAGAAGGGACAUAUUUUAGUGAAAAAUGUUCAUUCGACCCUCUAGAAACAGCAACUUGAAGCUUUAUAACAGGCUAUCCAAACUGUUUGGACAGAAAUAAAGCAGCGUGUUUGAAGCACAUGUUCAUCUUGGAUUGUUUAUGUUUAUGGCCUAAGUUCUUUGCAGUGCAUUGUUAUUUAUGACAACCGAAUGUAUAAUAUUUUUGAUUCAACACUACUUUAGUUCUACA